This 482-nucleotide ribosomal RNA is filed under the name uncultured bacterium. RNAcentral describes it as "partial 16S ribosomal RNA". It matches the Rfam family "Bacterial small subunit ribosomal RNA", at positions 28 to 507 of the family's 1533-position model. The record is from RNAcentral.
GACGAACGCUGGCGGCGUGCUUAACACAUGCAAGUCGAACGAUGAAGAAGAGAAACGCGAACUUCGGUUCAAAUUUCACUUCGGAUUAGAGGCAGACGGGUGAGUAACGCGUGAGCAACCUACCUCUUACAAAGGGAUAGCCUCGGGAAACCGUGAUUAAUACCAUAUGACACCUUCAUAAAGCAUCUUAAGAGUGUUAAAGCUACGGCGGUAAGAGAUGGGCUCGCGUCCCAUUAGCUAGUUGGUGAGGUAACGGCGCACCAAGGCGACGAUGGGUAACCGGGGAGAGAGGAUGAACUGUCAAAUUGGAAGGGAGACACGAGCAGGAAUCCUACGGGAGGGAGCAAUGGCGUAUAGUGGAAAAGGGAGGGAAGUCUGAUGGGGCGACGCAGCGUGAGAGUUGAAGGUAUGCGUAGCGUAAAGCUCUGUUCUAUGGGAAGAAAAGGACUGUACCAUAGGAGAAAGCCCCGGCUAAAUACGUG